GACGAACGCUGGCGGCGUGCUUAACACAUGCAAGUCGAACGGUGAAGCGCCUUCCUUUUUGGUGGGUGUGGAUGAGUGGCGAACGGGUGAGUAACACGUGAGUAACCUGCCCCCUUCUUCUGGAUAAUCGCAUGAAAGUGUGGCUAAUACGGGAUAUUCUGGGUCUGUCGCAUGAUGGGUCUGGGAAAGAUAUUGUUUCGGUGGGGGAUGGGCUCGCGGCCUAUCAGCUUGUUGGUGGGGUGAUGGCCUACCAAGGCGGUGACGGGUAGCCGGCCUGAGAGGGUGGACGGUCACACUGGGACUGAGACACGGCCCAGACUCAUACGGGAGGCAGCAGUGGGGAAUAUUGCACAAUGGGCGCAAGCCUGAUGCAGCGACGCCGCGUGAGGGAUGGAGGCCUUCGGGUUGUGAACCUCUUUCGCCAGUGAAGCAGGCCUGCCUCGUUUGUGGGUGGGUUGACGGUAGCUGGAUAAGAAGCGCCGGCUAACUACGUG
This 494-nucleotide ribosomal RNA is filed under the name uncultured bacterium. Its description in RNAcentral is "partial 16S ribosomal RNA". It matches the Rfam family "Bacterial small subunit ribosomal RNA", at positions 28 to 507 of the family's 1533-position model. The record is from RNAcentral.